RNAcentral lists this long non-coding RNA (578 nucleotides) under Apteryx rowi (Okarito brown kiwi). Its description in RNAcentral is "lncRNA (ENSARWG00000000159.1)". The record is from RNAcentral. Lineage: Eukaryota; Metazoa; Chordata; Aves; Apterygiformes; Apterygidae.
GGCGGACGCGGGGCGCGGACUACGCUCUCCAGGGUGCCGCGGGGCGGCGGCGCGGUGCGCAGGCGCCGGCGGGCCGGUGUUGUUUUGAGACGGCGUCACUGGAGGCUGGAGCCGGCGGCGCCCCUCGUCCGUCCCGAGCCCCGCUGGGGGCCGCGCUGAGACAGAUUGGAUCAGCUUCUGGCCCAGUGAAGACACAUCUCUGUAGACAAUCAGGCUGACUUAAUUCCUCCACCGAAUAUGUCCUGUGAAGCUAGAGGAGGCCUCUGAGCAAAACUUUAUUUCUGAAAACUGGAGCAAAUUUCGUGGCUCUUUAUCCCUGUUGCAGUUGUACUAGAUCCAUUAGCAUCUUCAUAAUUUGAUAGUAAAUUUGCGUGGUUUUUUUUUGUCCGUCCUGCCCAAAACUACUUUUUUUUUUUUUGAAUACCCUCCGUCUAAGAAGGCAAUGCCAACAGUAUCCAGCAUCUCUGGGCUGUUAGAAAAAAAGUCUAUCUGCUCUUAGCGGGUCUUUGUCCUUUGGUGACUGAGAAUACAAGCUGGAGAGGAUUUUGUGAGGAGGUGAAUCUGGCCAUUGAGCUAAG